Molecule: transfer RNA, 72 nt
Filed under: Mesocricetus auratus (golden hamster)
Lineage: Eukaryota; Metazoa; Chordata; Mammalia; Rodentia; Cricetidae
Rfam family: tRNA
About the family: Transfer RNA (tRNA) molecules are approximately 80 nucleotides in length. Their secondary structure includes four short double-helical elements and three loops (D, anti-codon, and T loops). Further hydrogen bonds mediate the characteristic L-shaped molecular structure. tRNAs have two regions of fundamental functional importance: the anti-codon, which is responsible for specific mRNA codon recognition, and the 3' end, to which the tRNAs corresponding amino acid is attached (by aminoacyl-tRNA synthetases). tRNAs cope with the degeneracy of the genetic code in two manners: having more than one tRNA (with a specific anti-codon) for a particular amino acid; and 'wobble' base-pairing, i.e. permitting non-standard base-pairing at the 3rd anti-codon position.
Source: Rfam by way of RNAcentral
AAGGGUGUGGCUUAGAGGUUGAGCACAGGCUUAACAAGCAUGAGGCUGUGAAUUUAAUCCCCACCAUUCUCC